GGGCGAGUAACGUCUAGGAAAGCAGUAAACCAUAGAGCAGGAACUGGCACCGAGUAAACCCUCUUCUUAGUUGCUAUCCUCUUAUCUAUCCCUAUUCAUUGAGUGUGCUAGCAACCAACAUAGGGAAUUUGCCUAAUAGAGCAACGAAUGCAUUAGUAAGCGCAUUGGUGAACUUGAACAGCCGGGUUUUGGUGAACUUGAAUAGCGGGCAUUGACUUAUCACUUGUGCUUUUCUCUUUGGGACAGUAAACCCGGACUACUCUACUGGUUGGGCAAGGGGGAAGGAACCUAAAAUGGAGUUAUUGCAACAUAGCUCGGUGAUUCUGCUUCCACUAAUUGAUUUCCUCGGAUUGGAAGACAUAGGCGAUGAUCCUUAUUGCGUUUUCUCGUGCAAGAGAAGGAACCGCUCAUAGGCUUGACUCGCCCUUAACGGUACGAGCUAUAGUCCACUUUACUCGCACUGAUCCUUAACUUAAUCCAAUUCAACGAGUAGCGGUUACUUAACUAAUUACUCUUGUCUGAUUCUUUUCUCUUUCAACUAUCGAUUAAGUUAGUCGAGCAGGAGCAAAAAUGCAGGAUAGUUCUCUAGCUAAGCAAGAAGGAGUGUUUUCCGUGUAGUUACUAAGGUAUGCUUGCCUGAUAGCAUUGGUUAAUGGGUCAACUCUUAUUAGAAGAUUCAAUUGGAAUAAUGGAAUGGAAUUGAAACUAAUUCAACAGCCCCUCUGUAAACUAUACUAUACCCGAAGCCUCGCCUGUAUACGUUGCUUGCCUCUUAGACCGUCAAUACUGAGUGCAAUUCUUUAAUGAAAUACCAGAUGUGGCAGAUUGGUCAUAUAACUACUGAGUGCAAUUCUUUGACUUUACUACUUUAGAGAACCGGUAGUUUCUUUCCUCUUUACUUAAACCAACCCUUGUUUCUGAUUUCCUCUUUACUAUACUAGUAAUUCAUUCUUUUCCAGGAAUUGACACUCCUGACGCGCAACUACUAGCUAAUGUCGCAGGUCACUUUCAUUUCUCGCCUAUUGCUCCCGUUAGUGCUUACUUGCCAUCUGACCCGACCUCUCUACUUCUACUAAUAAGAAUAAGAGAUCUGCUAAAAAGAUAUGAAACUAAGAAUAAGGGACUGGUCUUCCAUUCUGCAUUUAUUAUGUCUUAUACAACUACAACUACAGAAGCGGUCCUACUACUCAACUUAGAAGUGGUCUUCUACCCUAAGUUCAUCACUUGGCGACUCGGAACCAUCAAGAUGUUAGGCUUGAGACGGCGCUAAUGGAGUGGAAUGGAAGACCGCUUCUAAUUCUAAGUAGAUAUACCUGAUAAGUAGGAAUACCAGAGUUAGGAGUUCCACUUGUCUAGUAGUAGCUAGCCGGGGCUAAAGUUGCAUUCCAUUGAAACAAAGAAUUGAUACUAAGAAGGUAAAGAAGAAGCAUCAUACGGAGGAGAAGGAAAGGCGGAAGGGAAAGAUACGGGGUCGCUGCUUUAGUAGUGAAGUGACUUAUUAAAAGGAAGAAAGGACGAGAAAAGAAACUACUAGCUAUGUAUAGGUGUCUAGACAGGAGUGGAAACACUAAGAAUUGAGGUAAGUGGAAACUCCUAAUAAUAAGAGUAAGAAAUAAACAAAUAACAUUGAUGUAACAAACAGGCGAGCAGAGGGGGCAAAGGGGUCUUGAUAACUAGUGAAAAGUAACAGUGAAGAAAGUCAGGUUGGGAGAAAGCGAAGCCACAUACUCACAAGAUUCCAGACUUGAUGAUAGAAAGGAGGUAGAGGGAAGCUAACAAGCUGUGUAGAAGAAAACGAAGAUAGAGCGAGAGAAGCUACGAGCGCGAAGGCGAGUGAGAGUGCUAGAGUUCCAGUGAGCAACUGGAGGAGUGAGGGAAAAAUGAGUAUGCAUUAGUGUAGAGUUGCCUCCAGAGGAGUGAAAGAGAAGAGGGAAGAGAAAGAGGUAUGUAGUUGUAAUAGUAGAUGUAUCGGAGUUCAAGAGGCAAGUUAGGAUCUUUUGAAAGGAGGGAAAGAGUUGGGAAGCGAGUGAAUUAUAGGAGGGAAAUACAAAAGAGUAGCGGGAAAGAGGAGGAAAAGGCAAUACUCAACUCAGAGGUUAAGGGUAGGCAUAAAAGAAAGGGUUAUAGCAGUAUCAAAGAGCGAAAGAGCAUAGCCGAGGCUUGACUUGCUCAUAACUUGCUAGGAAUUCGCUGAAAAUAGUCAUUAUUUUAGGCUUAUGGUAUCCGUGAAAACCCCUGUUUAUGGUUGUUUAGGGUAUAACUCAUCAGUAGUGGCUUGGCGUUUCAUCUUAUAAAGAAGCAAAGCAGGGUUAGUUAGGGCGUAGAGAGAAUCACAAGUUCUUUCUUCGGGAGUCCUGUAUUAAGGGUGGCAGGGCCGCUAGUCAAUUGAAUUCCACUCCUUACCCUCCCUAAACUACUCCUCUCCUGUGAGCGCAGAACUUCUCCUUAAAGAAUUGGAGUGCACCGUACUACUUAUAGGAGUUGUGUUAAGACUUCAGAGCUCAAUCCUCUUCUUACGUUUGAUACCUGAAUUCGGCAACUAUACCUUAGGCUCAUAUACCGAUGUGUUUGUUGGCUUGACUUAGUUUGUGUCUUACUUAGUUGCUUGGUGGCUUCAACUCCAAAUAUAGGCUUUCUCACUUAGUUGCACAGGAAUAGAACUCAGGAAUCAACCUACUACUAUUAGAUAGAGCUCAACCAACAAAAGAGAGACUGAAAGAACUCCCCCAAUACUGUAACUCCGGGGGAAAGAGCGGAGACUUUCAAUAAUGAGUAUCGGGCUUUAUCCACUAACUCAGAGUAUAUCACUAUCCAUAAUAAUCAAACAAAUAACUAAUACUUGAACUCCCAAGCAACUACCCCUGUAUCUAAGCCCACCUUUCCUUAACUCAAAUCUGUAUUAUCAUCUAUCGACUUAGACCAACAAGUGCAGUUUUCCCUUAUACUCUUGCAAACCGACACCACUGUCUCUUGUCCUCUGACUACCAGCCUGUGACUCAUAGCUUUCACUCUGCUAUUCCUCGAUUAGAGCCUUGCUUCCUGGGGGGUCUAUUCUUAUUGUGAUAUUCUAUUUGAAUAAAGAGUUGAACUGGAGACACCGGAAUAGAACCACGGCAAACUACUUACAAGGCCCGAUGCACUAAGCAUAUGGCUAAAAACAAGGAAUGCGACGCGACGACGGCUUAUCAUAUCGAUACAAGAGAAAGGGAAUGCCAGGCCCAACUAUAAGAAUCGAAAGUGAAGAGUUAAGACCCGGAAGCAGAGGAAUCAUAAUCGCGGUUAGUGCUCUCCAGCUCAAGUCUAGGUUUGGAUACUUAUAAUGCUAGGUAUAGUUCGGGAAGGGAAGUUGGUAGAGCGGAGACAUUGCUCUAGUUUGAAGCAAGUAAUGGGCAGAUUUACAUCAAGGAGUAAAGGAGUGGGUUCAGCUCACGGGGGUAGUGUUUAGUUCCUGUUAGCGCGAGUUUCCAUUGUUCAUCGACCUAGGACAAAGGCACGGGCAAGAUAGGGCGUGGAGGCACCGGGUGUUUGACUUUCAGAAGAAUGCAGUUUAUUAGUUUACAUAGGAGUGAAAGGCUUAUUAGUUUGUUUACAGAGGAGUGAAAGGCUCUCCCGAGUGUCCUCAUAAAUUGAUUCCUACCGACCCUGUAGGGAGAUACUUUAUGGCGCGUAAUUAACAGAGUGGCGCGUAGUAUAAUGAAUUCCCUAGCUUCCCUGUCUUUGGAAUCUGAUCAGUAGCAAGCAGUUCUGAAAGUAUUGUUUCGGGUGUUGGUCAGGUGUUCCAGCUACUAGAUAGUAAGGUUAAGGCAUGUUUUAUUCGAGUGUCAAUUCCUAUAAUUCAUAUAUAAUAAUCAAAGUGAUCUCGAACACUUUCCUCGCACUGCUAAUUAUUUACUGUCUUUUUGACCCCGCUGGUAGGUAAAACAGGGUUGCUGCCUUUUUGACCGGGUUUCAUAAAAUCAGAUCGUCUCUUGCUCCCUUACGUGCUUCAACGACUCGGGCUCAGCUCCUGCCGCUACACUUACUACGUUCCUUGGCCCUGAACUUGGCGCCUCUUUUCUUCUAUUCCGUUUAUGUAGUUGACUUUUCCUCUGACUUGCAUUCUUAGUUGACUUUUCCUCUGACUUGCAUUCUAUAUAAGGAGAAAGCUCUUUCUUACUCAGAAGGAUAAAGCUCCUUCUUACUCAGGUAGAAUAUUGUAUUGUUACUUGAAUGAAAGGAGGGAUCCGGUAUAAUAGAGUGCGGGUAGCACACGAGGAUGUGCAGUGAAUACACUUAGGGUACACCUCGGAAAGAAAAGAAAUGGCAUUCAUUCGAAACGCACCCUGCAGAGAAAAACUGUAUCAGGGGGAAGGUUGUCUAACGGAAAAAAUCUUAUAGGUAAGUUAUAAGGUAUGAGUUAGAAGGUAUUCUUUUAUAGGGGCGAACAGUGCCCAAGUAAUCCUGCGGGUCUAAAUUCCUGUAAUUAGAAUAUCAUAUGGAAGAGCAUCCGGUAAAAAUGACUUCUUGAGUCCUGUUUCAACAGUGUUUGUAGCCCUGGAAUCUUUGUUUGUAGCCCGAGUUAGAUUAGAGUCCUGCUCCAGCUAUUUCGUACAAUACAUUUGGAAAAAACUAUAGUAAGUGAAGCACGGUGGGUUGCUCCCGAGCGUGUAGUCCUGUUAGCCUAGUUGGAGUUUUCUCAUAUAAAGAAGAAGAUCUCGGAUCAACACUAAAGUAAGCUCCGCUCCACAGUAUAAAAGAAAGGUGAAGUGCACUUGUAAGGAAAUAUUAGAUGUUGAAGAGGUAAGCUGUAAAUACAGUUUAGGUAGCAGCGGUACCGGUACAAAGAGCAGGUGUUGUGGUAAGAGAAUAUGAUCUCGGCACACUUCCACCGAGUUUGAAUCUAGAGAGCAUCCGGAUGAUGAAUACUUGGAGAUCAUGGAGUCUGCAACAGAGUAUCUUUCUCUUCUUUGAUUUCUUCUCAAAUCUCUAGCCUCGUUCACAUUCAUUGUGUGAAUCAGAUCUGGACACUACUUGGUUGUUCUUUAGUACGUUGGGACAUCAAUCCGCUGCUUUCAUUGCUCCUGUCCAUUCUUGUGCUUUUUUGUGGAUUUCUUCACUACUGAAUUCCGUAGGUAUACCUAUAAGUAUAGCUAGUACAAGGCUUGACUCUGGUUCCAUUUUGUAGCUUCACCUGACUUUAAAGAAAGCUGGAAUUGGAACUCCCUCUUUCCUGAGCAAGCCCAUAAAAGUAGUACGUACUCGGGUGUCUGCUCGUGGAAUAGAAAUAGUUGGGUAGUAUAGAUAUGCUUGAGAUCAGAGAAUAGCUCCAUAAUCAAUAGAAAACUGCAAUGAAUUACACACACGCAAGUGGUGGCUCGGUUAGAGGAAGAAGCUUGAGCCUCUGCACUACCGAGGACCUGCUAAAAUCAAUCGAUUGCAUCAGAUAUGCCAAAACCACUUACAGGUCUUUCCAAAGAGCAUAAAGAACAAAAGAAAUAGAAGUAAAGUGGACUCGGAAAGAAAAGAGAUAGUGAAACCCUCUCCAAUUUGAGAUCUAUCUAUCCUUAUAAGUAGGAAUCAAAACCUACUAAAUUCCCCCACAUGAUUAGACUAAUGGAGAAAGUAGAGGUAUUAAAAAAACCCUAUACUCCUACUUCCCUUUAUUUGAUAUUUCCUAAAGGUUAGAUUCCCAAACUUGGCUCUAUAAUAAGAGUGAGCGCUCACACUUUCUUUAUGGGGAGCAUCUAUUCAAAGGAAAUGUUUCGGCCUGCAGGAGAGGCAUCUUACUUUCCUACUGACUGAAUCACUGAAAUCUGUUUAAGGAGGUUUCUACUGGAAGAGACUCCGCGUCGGGGCGGUCGGGGGUUCAUUACGAGUGGGCAUGAACUGUAACAAAACUCAAGUAAGCCCUAAUUCCGGAACCGUAACGGGAACCACCCUGUAAAGUAAAGAGCCUCGCCUAAAGGACCAGACCCGGAGCUGAGAACAAGAUCGCAAGCGCAACUUCUCAUUCGAAGCAUGAAAGUGGUCAGGUCACUUAGAGCCGGAAGAGAUAAUAGUUGCCUUAUUAAAGGUUGGGGCGAAAUCUGUCAAAUACAAGCAAGCAAGCCCUUCUAUUUCUCUAUUCAAUCCAAGGCCUACCUCGAUACACCUGUGUCACAACGGCGGAUCUUUUGAGUGAGGGAAGCCGGAGCAUUGGUCAAGAGAUAGAAAUCAGAGGCACUAUAGAUCGAGAAAAACACAUUAGCUACACCAGCGUGUAUUAAGAAGUUUCUUUUUGAUCCUAUUUGGAGACUUUCCGGUUACUACUUAGCUAAAGCACUCCUCAACCAACUAAGAAAUGGAUUAGCAGUUACCCGAACCCUCCUAUCACAACAAGGCAGAGCUAACCCUGAAUUCGACUGCUCUCUAAAAGGCCUGCCUAUGAAAUUAGUAAAGCUUGGAUAACAUAGUACUAGGACUUACUAGAUGAAAGACCGUGAUUGGUUAAGGUACCCAAUAUUAGGUAGCUGCUCCAUCUAUCGGAUCUUUUCUAAGAGGGUUAGGUGGUUGAGUCGAAGCGUAGAAGGAGACAAAAUCAUCGGUCGUGCCCGGGGUUGAUUUCCUACUUACAGCUAAAUGAGGGUUUUUGACGUCAACUCUGCUGGAAGCUAGAUCCAAUCUACUGGUCUUUCGUUCGCUAUUCGAAUGUCUUGGACCAGUAUAAAUGUCAGAAAGGUGGUCUUGUCCUUUCCUACUAGUACGUCGCUAGUAGCUCCUUAGUUGAUCUCUCCUCUUCCCGGCCGGCUGUUACUCGUAUGUCCAGACAACGCAACGACUAUCGAUUCAACGAACCCAUAGAUUCUUCUAUCAUUCGACCAGAUCUUCUAGAUGUAUUCUAAUUCUCCGGCCUCGAGCAACUUUACUCAAAAGGGAAAUGCCCUUAAUUCAUUUUGGAUUAGUUUACAGCUUUUUCACCGAGCGGUUCUUCAAGUAGAGUUCCAGAAGCCGAAUGCUAAUCGAAUGCUGAGGUUGAGUCUCAAGGAGAAGCGGAAUAAAGAGCAGAAGAAUAAGCUUGAGCAGAAUAAUAAGCUUGAGCAGAACAGAAGCAGUAGGCACAGGAGUAGUUUCAAUUGAAGUUGUGGAAUUCUUUGUCGCCAGCCAGCACGCAUAGAAUCUCCGUAAUCAACUGUAGCGCUCUCAAUUCGAAGUUUCAAAAUGCAAUACUAAGUCUUCCAUUCCAUUCUGUAUUUUCCAUUCCGUUUUUCAAUUAUGAAAUGAGGUUUUCCAUUCUUUAUCUGUCAUAUUACUUUUGUUCUAUAUAAGACAUCCCCUUGAAACAAAUCAUUCUGAAACUUCACCUCAUAUAAGGAAGUAAGUCAUAUUACAAACCAAUAUAUCCAUACCAUCUUUGAAACAAAUCAUUCUUAAACGGAAACAAGAAAGUUCCAUUCUCACUUUGGAGUCUAAUGCACUAGAGACCCUAUUCCUUGAGUCUAAUGCACUAGAUCUAACCCUAUUCCUAGUCAGAUUUGUAGAAUAGAAGACCCUAUUCCUAGUCAGAUUUGUAGAAUUAUUAGACGCAGAGCAGGAGUACAUCCCUAUUGAAUAUAAUGGAAGUACGACAUAGAAGAAUAGGCUUGAAGAGCACUAGACUAGGGGGGCGAUGCGAGAAGAGAGGGCCGAAAACAGGAGUGGAUUUCUGACUUGGAAACACUGAUACUAUAUUCUUUAAGUAAGGAGCAAACAAGCAGACAGCUUUCAUAUAAGGGAAAGAACAAGUAGUGGCCCAGCCCAGUGGAAUCCGUAUGAGUUUACAGACUUACCGCAAUUAGUACAUCUGAGACUAACGAGUGGAAUUCUGACCUUUCUGCACUUUGAGUGGAAUUCUUUGUUUCAUCUGUCUUAGUUGACAUAGGUAUCGGAGCCAUAGGUAUAGAAUCACUUGUGACCUAAUUUACUGAUUUCUUUGACGGAUAUCGGUCAUAUCUAUCGGUCAUAACCAUACUUGAGAACUUGAAUUAGAGAUGAAACUAGUCAGAAUGAAGCCAGAGAAGGUAUCGAAUAGAGUUUACGAUUUCUUCUGUUAGGCCUGUACCUGCGCCUUAACCCUACUUUAGAGCAGAGAGAUUCGCUGUUUUGAAUCCAUUCUCUUUCUCAUAUAAGAUAGAAUGAAAGACCUUAGAGCGAGGUAUCUUCACCAGGCAAACAACUCCUCAACAAGCAACUCAGGGCAUUUCGUAUAUCGAGAAAACGCAUCUUUGCAUUCAACUACGAGGGGAAUGUUUUCAACUGACAAAGCUACUACUCGGGGCUUUGAGGCUUCCACUCACUAUAGGUAGGCUGACUCGCUGGCUUAAGGCUUCUACCCACUAGCUCCCGAAAACAGUUAGUCUUAAGUUGACAAGCAGUAGUCCAGUGGAAUAAGAGGUUUAGUGUAGAAUCAAACCGGCUCUCCAGUAUCUCGAGUUUAUUAUUUCCUAUUUCACUCCUGUACUCCCUUUCCUCUUUCACUCCUGUAAUUGAGAACUCUAAGAAUUAAUACAUCUGUACUGGGUUGGUUCAGAGCACUUAGAGUUGAGUUGACUUUCCUCGCACCAAUUCACUUAAGGGCUGAAACACCUGAGUUAGAAUGAAACGUCGUAGUCAAAGAAUACAAUUACGAGCUAAGGCUAAGUCAGAGGCAUAGGUACCUGUUUUUGCUGUUCUAGUUCCUGAGUUUAUAACUUCUUAUUUAGGGGUUUGUUGCGCAAGAGGUGAGAAAGGCACUAAGCCUACUUAAGGCCUUGAAACCAACCCGUAGUACUGCUAUGGUUCUUGUUUAAUACCGAAUAGCUUCCUCGCCCGCCUGUCGAACAUGAGUCCGAUUGUGUGUCUCAGAUGGAUAAGGUAAGUCCGCAAGUUCGGGAGCAGAUUCCUUAGGAGCAGGAAACUCCAUUCUUAUAGAUUCCGGAGGAGGAGUUACAGAGUUACCGACAAAAGUGAAGUUAAAGAAACCCAUAUCACUGAAUUCUAUCUUUCUAAAGGAGAACUUUCUAUAAAGGAUAACUGAUGAUCCAGCUUUCAUAACUGCUGCAUCUCGGCACCCUCUGCCCUUAACCCAGCUUCCGAACAAGUAAUUGAAUUGGAAGACCUAGCUCCUAGGCUCAACUCUAACAACAUCUUUUCUUAGACCACAUAAGACCAGUAGAAGACCGUGUACAGGAGCUCAAUCAAUAUAAGUUAGUAUGGGUUAUAAACGAGUCCUUAUUGUCUACUCCGACAACAAAUCAUUGAACCCUGCCCAAGCUGCUGGCAACAAUUCUCUACUUCCCGCUUCAAAGCAAGUACUUUACCUCGUAUCAAACCUCGUAUCAAAGCAGGAGUCCUCUUCAACACCCGAACCGAACUCACUCUAUUCUCUAAUCUCUAACUAAUGAUCCCAAGGCUUACUCCCUUUUUGACAGCCUCAGGCGUAUACUACAGUACUUCCCCCUAACAAGCAAGUCAACUACCCGAGCCUAGGUAAACUACCCGACCCUCAAAAGUCAGUGCACUACCCUUACUUCUAUUCUCAAACUACUUACCUCGGAUCUUACAGUUGCGGGACUAACUGAAACAGCUUCUUUGCCUUCUUCCUUUCGAUUGUUAGUCUCAUUAGUCAGCUUCAUCUUUCUACUCCUUAGUUUAGCUCUUGCUUGUUAGCUUCAGAGCCCUUAUCUCCCUUAUCUAAUUAUCCCCUUCCCCGCUUUUCGCCUAUCUUUUAUUGGUAUUCUUUUCACUUAUAUAUUAGCAUGUGUGUUUUAAUAUGAUUAUUGAUUAGUAUUUUCUUCUAUUUGAUUAGGGAAAUUAGACUCAAAACCACAAGUUCUAUUUCUGUUCCCUUUAUCGCAGUUGGUGCCGGUGUCAAGUAAACAUCAUUCUUAUGAGGUCUCAGUUCAAACUUUCACUCUGCUCUCCCUUUCUUGCCUUUAAGUUGGAAGCUCCUUUACUGGAUGCACUGGAUCAUACCAUACCCGUUCGGAUAUUAACUCUACCCUUUUUCUUAUUUGUAAUAUCCGCCUUAAAAGCAGUUGUUUGGUGGUUCGAAGUAAACAGUAUAAGAGGGGUACAGAACUCGACUAAGCUAUUUCAGAAUUUAUAUACUACAAAAUAAAUUGAGUAAGCACUAAGCAAUUGAAGCACGAGAGACAGUAAAGCAAGCGCAAACCAACUCCUAUCUAAUCGUCUUAACCUGACUUUCUAACAGGAACAGGACAUUCUCCACUGUAAACUAGAACAGUCCAUUCUGCUGCUGGCAAGUGCUACUUAUAGGAUGGAAGGCACCUAGACUUCACUCCCACUCAAAGAUAUUCUCUAAGACACCUUGGGCUAAGAUGGGAGGCCUAAUGGUUGAACUUCUCUUACUUACUAACUCUAUACUGCGGAUUCUAUUACAGCCGAUGAGGAUCUUUCUUCUGCUUCAAAGCCGAUACUUUCUUUUUAUUCUUCCUCGACAAGAAACACCACUUUAUGACCGCCGCAACUGAUCUUGUUCCCGCUUCGGUUUAUUCUCCCGCUUCUGGUCUCUAUUACUUUCCGGAUCCCGUUUCUGAUCUCGUAGACUUUCCAGAUCCAGCUUAUGGUCUUACUGCAAAAGAAUUACCUCCUUCGGCAUUAAACUAGGGCCCGAACAACACUUUCCCUGUUUCCGAUGCUUCCUCUUUAGUGACCAACAUCUAUUAGACCCCUAUUAGAACUUGAACUCUGACUUCGAUGUUAAUACCCAGCUCUUUUGUCAUUACAAUUCCGACAAGCAACUAAGCGCCAAGCCUUCAACAAGGGAGUUACAGAACGAAACAAAGAAGUGCAAGGCUGAAACACUACCUAGCAAGACCUGAACCAAGGGAGUUACGGGCUAUCCGACACCUGAGGCACAGACUGCUACUGGUGCUUAAGAAUCCAACUCACUCGUCACAGAACCAAGCCAGAGGGAGUCCAAGCCUGGCCAAGCAACUACUAAUGACCAAGUCCUGUGUGAAACUGGAAAGGAAGCACUAACGGGAGCAAGAUCGGUCUACUUUGAAAUGCAUUAUUUAUCAUCGCCAAGAUGUUUUUCGAAGGAUUUCCUAUCAAACUAGGAAACUGUCCUUAUAAUGCAUUGACGCCUAUAAUCUUGACCCUAUUAACAUCUGUACCCUACUGCUCUGCUCUGCUCUGUCAACAAUACCUGAAUUCUGAUCCUAUCACUCUGGCUUGGCUCUUAUAUUAGACUUCUCCCCGGGGCUCCUGCCGCUCUGUGUUCGGUGUUUUGAAUUGGAUUUCCCAUCAAACUCAAUAAGUGACCAAGCAACCUCGGAAAGCACUCUCCAUCUAGUUCAGGCUACAAAGACAGUUAUUUCUCCAAAACACAUAGCAUAAGUAUUUACCUCCUUCUCCCCUUUAUUUACUUCCCUCAACAAGCUUAGGCGCAAGAGAGAGAAGGAUCAGUGCCAACUCGCUAACGCUAUAAGCUUGCACCGGCAAACUCCAAAAUACUAUAUAUAGGUCGUAACGGAACCAGCAACUGAAUCAGCUGGGCUAAAUAAGCAAGUAUACAGGGGUGCCGAGUACAUAAUAUUGUAAUAACCAGAGAUUCAAUGAUUUGUUGCUUCAGCAAAAGAAAAAGUAGAAUCAUCGGUUGAGUCUCAAUCUCAAGGAACAAUAGAAUCAUCAUCAUCAGCAAGUGGUUCUUUCACUUCCAGGAGGGGCCCUUAUAGUAAGUUGCAGAAUCUAUUCGAAUUAAGCGCUCAUCCUUCUCCGGGACAAGAAGUCCGUACUGUACUUGAAGUCUAGGCCUGUCCUACUGGUACAACUUAAGCGAAGGAAAAGUCAGGGUUCAGGGCGGAUCCCGCAAUAUCAAGGUGUUCUGUUCGAAAUCAUUGAAUUGAGUGCUCUGCUCCCUUAUGAUAGAAAGAAGUAACCAUCUCUAUAUGCUCUUUAUCGCUAACCCUACCUAGUGCUCUGCCCUCUUCACAUUCCAUUCUGAUAUUAGAUGUGGGGGCCAAGCCAAUUCACCUAUAUAAAGAUAUUAUCUCAUUUAGUAGGGGCCAAGCCUACAAAGGUUCUAUAUUGACUACUUGCUUAACAAAAGCACUUAAUCCCAUUCCUCGUUCCAUUCUUCCUUUCGUUCUGUGUUUAAGGAAAAAAAGCGAUAGGUUCUCCAGCAAGUUCUUUUUGGCAAACGGAUUCUAGGGCUAACGAUAAGUAACACUUUUCCUCCUUUCUUUGGAGGGAUAUUGCUUUGAUUCCCAUUGUAGGAAGGAGAAGUUGAUUAAUGGGUUUUUUAUUCUAUUCCCAUUGAAGCGGCAGUAGUAGCAUUCCUAAGAAAAUCAAGGGUAUAAUCCAAAUAGCCAUUGCUAAGUACGCAAGUUAUCAGCUCUUCCUGAACCGGUUCAUUGGUACCAUCAACUCGGUCUCGAUAUGCUGCUUUGACCGCAUCGGCCGCUGGUUAAGAUAAUACCUGCGAAGGAAGUAAGUGCUCACUUCUUUCUCUUCGGGCAUUGGAAGACGAAUCUACCCCAUAUACGCUGGGUUACCCGGGCCAUACUUGUUACUUGGUGUUAACUGUAGCACUAUAUGACCUUUCCGGUGAAGAACGUGUUCCAUGAACUCAAUCCCCAAUAAAUGCUGUGGCAUAAGUAAUCUAGCUACAUUCUAUUACCGGCCCCUUUGACACUUGAAUAAGUAUUAUGGGAUAACAUAAACAAGUAUGCCUCUACAAAUUGGAUGUUUGAAAGGUCACUCGAAAUAUCAUAAGAGAAGAAAAAGAAUCUUAUGCCCCAAAACACACUCCUAUUCUUUUCUUGGUUGGCCUAACCCAACCGGUCAUUUCCAACAAGUCUUUCUGCAUUUGCUUUUGGGGGGGGAGCAGAGUAGUUAUUUCAUUUUGUGAAAAUGUCGGAUCAAGCCUAGCUUAUCUAUUGAACCUGUCUACUACUAUUGUUCUUCCUGCAUCUCUUUUUAUCCUAGCUGCCUGGCGGAGUCGAGUCGCACGUCCUGUGUUGCUUUUCAGAAUGACCUGUAAUUACCCUCGUUAGGGAUUGAUAUAGAUAUACCUUCGGGUAUUUCCAUCUCCAUCAUGCUUUCACGGGGUUGGAACCAGUUAAUAUAACAAGUCAAGUAAGUGAACAAGAGCGAGUACCCCUUCCAAAUUAGGCUUUUCUCUCACAAGUUAUGGCGAAGUAUACGUAGCUUUGUAACCCUGUUAUUCUUUUCUUUUGAUACGUAUAGCCAGCCGUAGCUCACUCCAAGGGAAUAAGGCUUCUUCAUGCGCUGCCCUCGUCCGGGAGUAUGCUAAAUCCAAGUAUGAGAUAUCCAGGGAAUACUUAUAUCCUCUUUAUUCUUAUAUAUUGGGUUCACGCCCAAGCGAGUAAAAGACUCAAACUCUGUCCCGAGUAGAUCAAUUUCAAAGGAAAUUCAGUUAGCGCUCAAAACAAACCUAGAGCGUUAAACUUAAUCAAGAAAGGUGUUUCUCUAUCUAAUUCGCUAAUGAGAGUUGGGAGUCAAAGAAAAAGAGUACGAGGAUAAUUUCAGAAAGAUUCUUUGGCCUUGGAAGUGACACAGCAAAUACAGUAUUUAGGGUUUUCUAUUCAUUCUGUUUUCGUCGUCCAGCAAGUUCCAAGUUCAGUGAAUGAGUUUCCUCUGUGCAAGUUCCAUUCUGUCUUCUUUUCUAAUUGAAGUGAAGAUGACGUAAGCAUGGCUUUGUUUGCUUGUUUCUGGAACUAUGAAAUCCUCUUCUGGGCAUGUCCCAGAGACUAGUGAAAGAAGUUAUUUGCCUUUACUGAAAUCAAGGUGCUAAGAGCCCGUUAGUUGUAGUGUAUGUGGUAAUCAUAAAGUGGGGCAGUUUCCAGUCAGUCUCCGUUCGCCUAAAAGUGCAAGUGGAAAAGGGCCAGCAGUUAGACCCGAAGCGAAGGAAGGGCAUAAGCGUUUCAUUUAGGUUCAUUAAAGUACGGGAAUCCAAGGUAUUUAGCAAGAUCAGGGAAAUUCUAUCUUACAGGCAAGGUGCUAAGAGCCCAUUAGAACAAGUGGUUCAGGUUCUGUUGAGUUCGGGCGCUAAGCAAGAUAAGAUGGAUAUUCCAUUAAUACUUUCUUUCGAGUUUCAAGAUUAAUAAGUCGAACAAUAAUCAGCUGUGAAAGGAACAAUACUUCCCUUAUCGAUUGAAACUGACUUUCACCUGUUCGUUCCGAGAUACAACACUGCCUCUGUAUGACUCUGAUCCUUAUCUUGAAACAGCUUAUGCUGCUGACCUCUUCUCUGACUUUACUUGAGACAACACCACCUCUUCUUACUUACGCUUACGCGGAAAACAGGACUCAUUGUCCCGCUCUAGUUCCUUAUUAAACCAUCCAACUAGAUUCUUCAUAUUAGUAUGCAGAGUUGCGGCGGUAAGUAGACUCAAUUCUGAAAGGAAGUCGCAACCAAAGUCGCUGGUCUGGUAAAAACUCUUUAUCUGAGGCUUGUGACUUGUGCCAUGUAAUCUUUGCCCUCUAGCUCUCUAUGCUCUUUAUUUCCCCGAACCGAACCCCUUUCCUUUUGAAUUAAUCACUUUUGAGUUUAGUUAAGUUCCAGAGGUGUUACCGAUCACUACUCUACUCGCUCCGUGUUGGCUGAAGAAGACGGAUUUCUCGCCCUACCCUGCGUUAUAAACUCAGAAGUAAGCUUGAAACUCCCUCUCGCCAACUAAAGGCUCCGCUCUAACUGCUUCCCUUAUAGGCAUGUAACUAAAAUAGGCAUAUAUCACUUUUUGGAAUUUAUGGGAUUUGAUUCCACCACCCCACCAAGUAAGUAAACACCCAGUAAGUAAACCAGCCGACCCGACCUCUUAACUGGAACUGCGACUACUGAUAUUGAUACUGAUCCUUAAGAUUCUUCUCUAUCUUGGAGACUUUCCUUGAACUGUUGUAUCACCCAUGUGUUAAGCAAUGAAGGUGUAGAUGGAAGUUAUUACUUAAACUCAAAGGUAUACGAUCUAGUGAUUAGGUAAGUCAAUUAGAAUUCUAUAGUUGUAAACUCCAUUCUUCAAGGAAGGAGAACUAGGGGCGGAAAGAGAACUCGGGUGAAGCUAACACUCAACAAAGGAUUGAAUCUAUCCAGUACUUUCUCUGGCUAUACCCCUUUUUUCCUGGCUAAUUAUUAUGUUUCCGGACUUGGAGUUUAGGAAGUACAUUAGAAAUCCGACUGUUAACGGCAAGGAAACCAGUAUUCUGUCUUUUAAGGUAUUCUGACUUAAGAGCAGAGCACAGAGCACCUGGCGCUAGGUACCCUAUUCUGACUUACCUAUUUCAACUAUACUUCUCCUCUUGCUACAGCAUCAAUUCCACUAUAGGUCUCAAAAAGAGAUGCAGUGUCUUAUAUUGUCUUAUAUAUAAUAUCUCUAAAGUCAUUAUUGAAUCAGCAGUUCUUGUGGAGUCGACGAAAGAAUCAACAAUAUCAAGUCAAUCAGCAGCAAGCGCGGGAAGUAAAGGAAAAGAAAGGUUCGGAAAGGAAAGCAGUUGGUAGAAAGGCUAAAGAAAGAAGUAAUAUAGGCAAAAGUGCUAAGAAGAAUAAAUGAUGUAUACCUGGCUUUUUUGAUGCCCUAGCCCUAAGUCAAUCCGUAGUGAGAGGUUAUCCCGAGUGAAGUCUGCUUGGCCCCGAACCCACCUCUACUCUUGCUACUAAUCCAGUUAUGGCUCUUGACUACUAUACUACCCGCUAGUGCCACUUAUAUAUCUGCGAAUCUUUCAACAAGCCCUGCUGCUGUCAACUAGACCUAGACCUUAAUGAUUCUCUGUCAACUAAGUAAGUCAACCUACCCGAGCCUAGGUAAACUACCCGAUCCUCAAAGAUGGUACUUUCUUUUGACUACCCGACCCCUAGUAUAGUCAGUAAGUCUUCCCCGACUAGACCUAUAAUAAGUGCCCGAACCGAACUAACUCUAUCUGACUAGCUCACCUAUGUCUACUAAUACAGAUGAAAGUCAAACACCCGACCUCUCUACCACUACUCAUAAGAAUGAAACUAAAGCAGAGGGAGUGGAGGCAGUAUCAAGUCAGUCUUCUUCAAAAGAAAGGGACGAAGCUGGGCCAAGCUCCUACUGGCAUCAAGAUCAACCAACUACUGGCAAAGAAAUCCACUAGCUACAUAAAACGAAACUUUCUCCUUUACCUCGACCAGGAACAGGCAAUUAUCCAGUGGUAACUACCCUAACAAGCAAGUCAGUAAACAAAAGCACUGAAGCCUACCCGACCCUAGCAACUUUCAAAGAAAAGAGUAAAAGAAAGAAGGAUAAGAGUAUGACUAUUAAGUGACUUUCGAGAGUGCCAGAUCAACUGGGCUUGGUAAGAGCGGAGGUCUACUCUCAAUUCUGCAGUUCUUACUUGCUUCUUUAACUCCCGGAACUGGGUCGGCGUACUCUAUAUCCUGGGUGCUUAAGUAAAUGAGUUGGUAGACUAGACUAAGGCAAGGCGGGUUAGCUCACAGUAAACGAUGGCCUAUCGGCGGCAGCAACUAAACUGGGAAUCCAUUGGUACUAGCUCUGGCUCCAAUGAAUUUCACCCUGCUGGAAACAGAUACUGAAUUGAACUCAAAAGUAGGAGUGCCUUAUAGUAAGUUGAUUGGACUAAGUAGUCAAAGAAAUUAGGGUUUACUGCCCCAAGAGGAGAGGUAGUCCUGGUAGUAGUAGUAGUAGCUUGGCAGCCCUGAAGUUCAUGGUUCUAGUCUUCAUCCCUAGGUUUUCAUCCUAUUAGAAUGUCAUUGAAAGCGGGUUUUCUCUCUUCUGCGCAAGAAGGUAUGAUUACUUUUACUGAUUUACUUAGAGAUAGGGAUGGAUGAGCCAUAACAGUAUUAGUUUACAUAGCUAGAUGAGCAAGAUCAGAGGGAUAGUUUCAAGAGCAAGAGCGGAACGACUAUAUCUGUCCUUUGUUCGUCACCUGUUUUAAGGUGUUGAAGCUGCCUAAACCUAUCUUUCUUUCUUUGAUGGUAGAGCGGAGCCAGUAGUUAUAGGUGGAGCAGAGCCAGUACUAGAUGAUUGCCCGAACAAGACUUGGAGCUACCGCGCCUUAGAGACAUAAGCAGAUGAAACUAAAACAAGGGAUUACUUUAUCACGGAACCUGAUCCAGCGGAUGAUCUUGAAACUGCUGAUUCCCUUUCGGAUUCCCCUUUGCCAACUACUCGAACUGCUCUGGCUCUGUAAACUGUAGUAGCUUGGCUUCUAGUUGUGAGUGUGAGUUUAAGACCGGUCCCUUAGUUACAGGAGAACAUUAGUAUAUAUACCUCAGAGUUAAAGACCAGAGAACAUAUGAGCUAGUAUUGUUAUCAAAGAAGAGGACCACCCCUACUCUUUGAGUUUACCCCGAAACAGACUAUAAGGGCUCUUCUACUGGCGCCACAGCCUCAGAUAUUGCUUCCCCAACUGAUGAUCUCGUUGCCAAUGCUCAAUCCUAGGAUUCCGUGUAUGCUCACUCUGUUAAGAAGACCGCUAUGUAGUUAAGGGAUGCAGAGAAGAAGACCGGAUGGGUAGUAUUAGGGUCGUGAGCAGGCUUAUACUUACUCGUUUCAUUCUUUGACUCCUUAGCUACAUUGCUUCCAAGACUAUUUCAUAAGCUACUAAUAGGCAAGCAAGUCAGUAUUAACUCCUUAGAGCUUCAGUAAGAAUAUAUCCCCUUAGCAACAUUGCUUCCAAGCCAAGCCCCAGGGCCAGGGAAGAAGUAGGCCAAGUAGUGACCAAGUAAAAGAGGUAGGUUUGGAAAUGAAGCAAGUCAGAAUGAAGGUAUUGUUGCCAUAGGUAUAGAUAGAAGCCUGAGUUCAAAGAGAUGGCACUGGCCGGCUUUGGGCAGCAAGCUGUUCUUAAAGUGCAGAGUCAGGAGUGAGUUGAGUUCGGAUAGCCCAGGAGUGGUUAGUUGACAGAGGUAUCGAAGCCAGAGAGGAAGAGAGAAAGAGCUCUACUAAUUGUCUAGGUUCGUAGCUAGGGUUGGUUAAGAGAGGAGCCUAGCCUAAUUCAGUUUAUAGUUCUGAACUCAGUUAAUUGUUUUAAGCGGUUUAUUGCUCUAGUACUAGUGGUUGUUUGUCGACUUGGCAGUUAGCAAAUAGAUACUCAAGUUUCUUUCCUUCACUAGGGGAGAGGUGUGGAACAUUCCAAUACUCUGGCAGGGGUGGUUCACUUAACUCUUUUACAAUUGAUAAACACAGAUGAUAAAACGAAUGUCAUUUCCACUAUGAAACUCUACAAACACAGUGAAGCAAGAAAGGUAUUGAUUGAGUCAGCUACCAAAGAAUAGUAUUGGAUCCGUAGAGCAAGAGGCAGCAUUAAGUUUAAGGUCGAGGAAGAAACAAGUCCUGUCUUCGUAGAUGUCUUCGUUGCGGUAAGCAAGUAUCGUUUUUCAACCUGUUGUAGUUUCUCAAGAGAAGUCAAGUCUCUUGUUCCAGGGGCAAGUGUCAGAGUUCCAGCAGAAGAUAGAUAUGAAGAAGGAAGGAUUCUAAUAAGCAAGAUCGUGGGAUCUGAAGAAGGAAAGUAGACGAUAGAAUCAUAAGUCCCAAAGGAAGCUGUUAGAGCAGUAGCAUAAGAAGGAACAGAGGCUCACGCGGAAGCCGGAAAGGAAUUAGGAUAAGCAUCAGUGACUGGUGCGCUAACUGGAGCAAGUAAGCACUUUUCAACAAGUAAGGAGUCAGCAUCAGCAGUUUACGCGGAUAGAGCAUUAAAGUCAGCAUAUAGAGCUUUAUAGUCAGCAGGAAGUAGGGAGUCAGCUGUAAGCAAGUUAUUGAAUCUUAAGUUCUACGAGUUUGCAGGGAGAGACAUCUCUGAUAUGUGAUGUGUGUCACGCUAGAUUCCAUUUCAUUAAGUUUAGUUAAGCGAGUAAGCACAAGUAGGGGCGGGAAUAGUUUCUCUAGUUUUUUGACCUUAGUGAGAGUUCUUUGAGUCAGGAGCUAGAUUCCUAAUUUCCAUGGAGUAAAAUACAUUAUUGGAAUUCAUUGUUUACGGCUUUCAUUCUUUGUUACGAGUUAGAAGCCCCAGUAUGAGUAGCUUGUGUUCCCCCAUAGAAAUCAUUGAAUUGACAACCACUGAUAGAAAAGUAACUAUACACCCAUUCUGGAUUCUUCUGCACUAAAGGAAGCAGCAAGAGAUUAUUCAAGCUUCGUCUUAAAGUCGAGAAUCCGCUGCUUUAAAAGAAAAAGAAGAAGAUAAGGGAACAGAAAAGUAGACAAGUCCCUUAUUCGUCAACGGUAGCAAUAAAGAAGUAGGUCCUCAUUAAUAGCGUCAGCGAAUUUGAGCUAAACAAACAAAGAAAUGGAUAAUUACUAACGUUAUGAACAAGCUCAGUAGAAUGUUACGUGUUAGCGAGAUACGAGUUGGUACGGCCAAGUAGUCACUAUUCAUGUUACGCGGCAGGGCUGCUCCUGUUAUGAGUAAGUCCUAAUUCCAUAUGUUUUCGUUCCUUUGUUCGUGUUACGCGGCAGUGAGUUUAGGCGGCGAAAGACGUUGGGCGGUAGCCAAUAAACAGUUCUUACGAAGUUAUUACAAUAUAUGCCUUCGGCGGCAGGAGCUCUUUCAACUUUCUCUUCUGCUACUCGGGGCUUUAAGGCUGUUACUUCAUAGUGGAAUUCUGAUCUUUCUAACUGGAACAGGGGCAGCUGACUGAACUCGAGUCACCAAAACACGGGUUUUUGAAUAGCAACGGGGCCAAGUAACUGCGCUAGUUCUACUGCCCUUGACUCAGUACACACACAUUGGUAGCAAUAACUGGAAAGUCGACAAACAGAUUCAAUGAAACUAACUCAUAACUCCUCACUCAGUAGUAAAAGAAAUCCACUAACUCAUAACUCCUCACUCAGUAGUAAAAGAAAUCCACUACUACAUAAAGAGCUAUAAUAAGAGAAAUAAUUAAUCAAGUCCACCAAGCUUAGUAUACAAAAGCAUAGAGCCAAGCUUAGGCCAAGCAACGUAGACUCCAGGAGUAGUUGUGCGAUCUGGACCACUACAUUAAGGGUUUUUGUAGUAUACGCUUGGCCCUGAUUAUUCCAUUUUGACAUAUUGAAGUGAAGAUCACGCAUCGUUAAUACUAGAAUUGGAAGACAAAGAGUAAUCAAUCUCAUGUUGUUCUACUUUCUAGAGCGUUUAGAAGUGGUUGCUUCUACUACUAAGAUUGUCACACAGUUGACUUUCAUAACUUCUCACGAUUCGAUGGUAUUAUGAUUAUGAAAUAUGUUGUUUAUUAUGGUGCCAUCCAACCUCUUAUCCAGGAACAAUAAUGAGUGUGAGUUCAAAGUGUAUCGGGGAAAUCAAGGGGUCUUUCGUCUAAGAGAUUCAAUAACUCUGCUCCCUAAGAAUCUCUUUGUAUUGGCAAAGACUUAUUUAUUGUCCUCAAUGUGGUUAUAAAGGCUCCAUCGACCAUAAUCAAGUGAAAGGUGGAGAAUCUGAAUAAGCGCUUCCAGCACUUGUAUUAUAUGAAACAGGAUAUUCGUCUCUUAGGUGGUGUUAUGCUGAAGGCUCAAUAGAUGGAUUUUUCUCAGUACAAAGUGUAUAUCUAGGAUUGCAUGACAUUGUCCGCGCUAGCUAUGCGCAUUUCUCGUAUGAACUAUUCCGAUCCUCUUAGUUUUCCUAUAUUUGAACGAAGAUACAUUCAUUCGUCUUGGGUACUAUGGAGGCCAUGCUGAUGUGUAUAUCCCACAUGGAAAGACUUGAUAUAGAUUCUAUUAUAUUUUGACGUGAACUCCCUAUAUCCAUUUGUCAUGCAAACCCGUUCUAUGCCGGGCGCCUAAAUGGCAUGGUAACAACUUGGAAGACCAUAAAUUGUCCGACUUAUUUGGAUUUAUUGAGGCAUAUGUAGUCUGUCCGAAUACUAUCAAGAAGCCCUUUUCGAGAGAAGAACACUCUAAUCUUUCCAACCGGGGAAUUAGUUGGUGUUUAUUUCAGUGAAGAGUUUCAGUAUGCACGUAACUUGGGUGAAAAGAUUAUACCACGGCUGGCGUUUGAGGAAAAGCGACGUCCUUUCUUUUGUUUGAGCACCCGAAACAAGAACACCUAGAGCUACCUGGCAAACGAAACUUCCCUUUAAGGACCCAACAAAGACAGAUUCAACCAGAGGCGGGACCACUACUUGUAAACUUAAGAUCAAACAAGGGAUAUGAAACCAGGCUGAGGAGCCGAACACAGGACUUGGCAAUUGAUGGCUCGUAGUGGAAUCAGUGAGAAUCAGUAUCAUAUUAAUACUACUACUUAAGACUACUACUAUUCAUAUCAAUACUUAUCAUAUCAAUGCAGAGGUGAUACUAGGAAAACAGGGAUUCUACUGGGUAUGGCGCCUAUGGAGAGCCUGUCCUGAAAGAUGGGUUCAGAAACCUAAAUCCAAGUAGCGGUCCAAGUACUCAAUUGAAGUCUACACUUCCCCAACUAGUAGUAGCCCUGAACAACCAUAAAGAUGUUAGGAAUAAAUGCACUAUAGGAGCUUACAGGAUAAAAGAGAGUCGAUUGGGCUUCUUCUUUAUUGGAGAAAAGUCAAGCAAGCACUACUGAGUCAAGCACAACAGCAACUACCAACAGCAACUACAUACUUUUGACUGCCCGGAAAGACUUUUACUAAGAGUCUGGGCCUGAGCGUAACCUAUUGAUAAAGGAGGAGUUCUCGUGCAUCCCGUAUUUUGCAGUUACAAGAUCUGGUGAAGAAAGUGGAACAAGCUUAUCUAUAAGGGCUAGAUACUUUGACCUAGAGCAUAACUGAGGAGAAUUGAGUUUAUCCUUGCCUAGACUAUAUAUUGAUGAAACCAAAAGGAUAGGUAGCUUAAAGAGUCCGUCUACUUUUAAGGAGCAAGACUCCGGUUGUGGUAAUGCGAGUUCGGGUGCUCGUCCAGUAAGGGAAUGCUCAACUGCUUCAAUAAGGUAGAAAGAUGUUGGUGCAAGUCAGAGGUAAGCUUUUGAAUGUCCUGUCCCUGUUCGAGUUGAGUUAUAGUCUUCAUCCCUCGCUUAAUCCGAGUCUCCAAGAGAAGUAUCCAGAAGUAUGGUUUCUGGGCUUUCCUGAGUCGGGUGCUUGUGUUAAGAAAGUAGUCAAUCUAUCUCCUUUGCCGGCUUGCCUGAUAGCCAAUAGUAGCCGGACCGGAUUGACUUGCCUCGUAGCUUGGCCCGUUAGAACUAGAGCACAAGAACGUAACUUUGUGCAUCCUCACAAGAACGUAACUUUGUGCAUCCUAAUAAUAAGAAGAAAGUGUUGCAUUUUGGCAGCGGAUACUGGAGGAGAAAUUCCAGCAUGAAAGAGACCAACCUCACCUGUGGAAUCCAAAAAGUAAGUAUAUUUACAAAUCUCUAAGAGAGAAGAGCAAUGAAAGAAGAGACCCGAACAGAGACAUAGACUCGGUGUAUACUCUCGCAUCGAAGAGCAUCGUUCAUUUUGUAAGAGAAUAGUGUGACGGCUUAUCUAGCUUAUCUAGACUCAAAAAGCCACGAAUGAAUCAUUUGCUAAGAUACUAGCUCCAACACUGGAUUUCUUUUGUCGAGAUGGGUUUGGUGUUCUUCGAACAUUUGUAACCCUAGAAGCUAUUGGUUACCAAGUAAGCUCAAGAAGCGAAGCUGGUCUUCCUGGUAGAUUAUAUAAGGACAUCUCAUGUUCAUGCCAGUGCGCUUUUCGUUCUUUCAAUCCCUUCUUUUCUCGAGUCUUUAGCCGCAUUUAGUAAAUAUAAGUAGGUGUGUUUCAGAAGCUAGUGUUUGAGUAUGACUUUUUGGGGAUUAAUCUUUGAGAUAUAUGCCUAUUUCUUUUAUGACCGUGAGUGAAAGCCUAUUAGUAUUAGAGAAGGGGGGAAGUAGGUGAUCAUCAACAAGUGUUUGACUAUGCCAUUCGUCAUACGACGCGUACAUCUCCGAUCAGAGAGUUUCUUAAUCGUCUGGUUAUUUCCAUGGAAAAGCGAAAAUCCUAUAUUAUUAUUAGAUUCUUAUUAUAUGGAAGUAGGUCCUAUUAUUAUAUAGAAGUAGGUCCUCGACCCAGGGUAAUUCAUCAAUCAGAUGGAUGCGCUUAUAGGGCUCUUAGCACCUUACUUUGAUUCCUGUCAACCCUUCGCUAGUAGGACUAUCAGAUAGAAUGGCUAGUCGGUAAACCCUUGACUGCCAAUCUCAUUAGAGGUUAUAAGCUAGCAUCAAAAAAGGGUGGGGUGGUAGUAGACCAGGUGAGUGUUAGCGCUUUACUAAUCCAAAAUAGGGAGUAGACCCGUUUCUUUCUAGAAUGACUCUUCCGGAGUAAAGCUUGAACGUGGCCUGUUAGUCCAAAAGGAAAUGACAUAUCGGAUCGUAGCCAGGAGGUGCCUCAAAUCAGCGAGAUGAAAAACUAGGGCAAAGGGAGAGGGUUCCACAUAAACAAAGAAAAGUAUGGCAGCAGUCGAAUCUUUAGCUAGUCCCAUUCCUUUUAUCUGCGAAGGAAUGAAAGGAUUGGAAGGUAAUAAAGACGGAUAUUGCAAAUAUGGAAUUUUCGGAAAGGAACGGAGCAUAUAUAGUGGCUCGACGCGGCGGUGUACACGUGUCUCCUAUAGCAUGCAGCCCAUAAUGAAGAGACAGAUCUCGAGAAAGGUGUGCUGCGAGAGUAUAGGUAGCCAGUCUUUACUUAAGUAGGCCCAAGCAAUGCCCAAAGACUCCCAUUUCCUUAUUGGCCGACCCUUUUCCCUAUAAGGUUCCUAGCCCAAGGCGAUUUCCGACAAGUAGUUGGUCAGCAGAGAAAGUAGAGGUCGGGCGCUAAGCAAGACAAGAUAGAGAUUCCAUUAAUGAUUCAGCAGCAUAAGAUUAAUUGGAAUUAAUGAUUCAGCAGCAUAAGAUUAAUUAGAGUUAGUCGUUAAGCUCAUUGAUUUAGUAUAUAUAGGUAUGUGGAGAGAUAGAUUGUAGUAGGUCCUAAGGUAAUAAGAAAUAGGAUGAAGUAUAAGUAAGUGGAGAGAUAGAUUGAAGUAGGUACAAAGGUAAUAAGAAAUAGAUGAAGCGGGUAAUCAGAAAGGGGAGAGUAAGGAGCAGAUUCCGCAGUGGAAGCAGUUCUUGACUUGCGAAUAACUCGCCGCUGGAACUCGGCUCCCAAAAACGGGACUUGGCGUCAGUGAGCUCUUUACCUACAAAGACAAAGAUAGAAAGAAAAUAACUUAGUCCGUUUCUUCUCCCUUCUUCGCUCUUAAUACACACCUCUGGGCAGGAAAUAUCACUCGUACACUAACUUGCUUGUUUAAUUGAAUGAAAUCCAAAUGGAAUAUAUGAAAUACAAUAGAAAAGAGUAAAGAACACCGCUUACUAUAAUAUCAUGGUAGUGCGCACACCUAUAAUCUCAUCUAUGAACUAACCAUCAUGAAGGAAGCUCACUCCUAAUCAUAUGAAACACCAUCAGAAAGCUCACUCCUAAUCAUAUAUAGUAUGGAACUUGCUGUAUCUUAAAGCUCACUCCUAAUCAUAUAUAGUGAAGUAUGGAACUCGCACACGUAGAACUCACUUUAGCUCGACGACGAACGCCAAACACCAGGUAUCAAAGAAAUUCAUUGAGUUAGAUAAGAGUCCAGGGCUAGUUCCAGUGGAAUUCUUAUCCGUAUUUGUAACAAGAGGAGAGGAAGCUAGAAGUACUAUUGAUCCCAGGACUUGAUUCUGCCCCUAAUCAAAGUAAGGCAAUUGGUUACGUGUGAUAAUGUUGUUCCAGACCAGAGGUGUUCGUGUUUAAGUUCCAGAGGUGUGUGUCUUAAUGAGUUCCCUAGCUCUCGGGGCGCUUUAUAAGGCUUCUUUUCAAGUCAAAGACAAUCUCUUUCGAGUCGUUUCACCUAUGCCUAUGCCUCUCCUCUGUUCCACUCAUAUUAUAGUGAAUGCGUGCUUCAAAGCAAAAGCCAGUUCUUAAUUGGAUUCUUUUCUUAACCCUUACUUGACUCUUGAUACUUUACCGACCGACCCAGAGCUACUAGAUACGAUUAACCUCGAACAUAACUUACAUAACCAUUUACUGUUGACUUGUUCCGCAUAUGAUAGAAUUGAUGAAAGGGUCAAGGAGCGGAAAGUGUGCUUCAAAACUCACUAAAGCACCCCGAACUAUAGAAUAUGUAUUGUAACUCAAUAAACAAAUAAGUAUCAUAUUGAUUUCAGGAUUAUAUAACUUUACUGAACUUUGUUUGCCCAAGAGCUGGCACUAAGAGUUGAGUUGGCAAAAGACCUUGUUUGUAUAUACUGGUUCUAUAGUAGCAGCGUCGGGGCGCUAACACUUCUGGUUGUUGGCCACUAAGCGGUAAGCAUAUUCCUUCAGCCUUCUUGGGGUAGAUAACAAUAAGUUGGAUAAGAGUAGGAAUUAGGGUAAGAGUAAUAAUUUCAUAAGAACAGGAGAGGCGAUAUAGAAUUUCUUAAUCAAACACAGAAUACAGUCAAAUAAUCAUUAAAGAACAUAGUUAUCAAUAAGAGAGAGAGGUUUCUUCUGUUCGAGUAGAGAGAAUCAUCUGUUUAAACAGAAUAAGUAGAAACAAGAUCAUAAGAUAGAUCUGGAUCUGGAUCCGUGAAAAAAGAAGCUGUUAGAAUAGAAAUAGGUAAUCGAAUUGCUUCUAUAGUUAGAGAAGAGCCAAGCCAGAGUGAAAAGAGCCAGAGUAAGAUGUCCGCAGUGCCAGAUUACAGUCGAAUUCCAGUAUGAGUGGAAUCUUAGUUAGUUGCCUUGGCGCUAACCCAUCUUUUCUAGAAUAAUAUGGAUAAGAAUAAGUUGAAAGAUAUGAAGCGGGAAGGUAAACUUCCUCUUAUGUGGAAUCUAUCAUUUCACCUAUGCUACUUGGCCUUUGAAUGAAUUGGAGCCUAAGAACAUAGCCCUGAGCUGAGAGUAAAGUGUCUUACGUUGUUCACUACCCUUAAUUUCAACAAGCCUAGGAAGAACAAGAAGAAAACGAGUAUUAGGCUGCUUUCUUAGGUAGAGCAGAGCCAGUACUAUCCUCUUCCGCUAUAACUCCACUUGCAGAAUAGUUUGCAUCUGCUUGAGCCUCUGAUUCUUAGUACGAUUCCACUCGAGCAGAACAAGCUUCAACUUAAGGCCCAGUACUUGAUUAGAUGAUGAUUCUCCAGAUUCCCGGCUCUUCAAUAGGGACAGAUGAUUCUAUUGGUUGAAGACUGGCUCUUUGACUUCUUCUAGCAAUUAAAUAUCUCUCUGACUCAUUACCCUAUUAUAGUAGAUCUCGAUUCACUCUGGGUACCUCAUAACUAUGUUUUUCGCGGCAG
This 26115-nucleotide long non-coding RNA is filed under the name Musa acuminata (dwarf banana). Its description in RNAcentral is "long non-coding RNA (MACU_LNC007506)". Lineage: Eukaryota; Viridiplantae; Streptophyta; Magnoliopsida; Zingiberales; Musaceae. The record is from RNAcentral.